GUGAUUCUCACUGAGCAGUUCCCCGAGUACAAGAGCAAUCCCCAGCUGCAGUUGUGAGCUCUCAGCAUUUCUGCAAAUCGUUUUUCAAGCCAAGGAAAAUGAGGAACACAUUACUGGUGUGCAUCUUGGCACAAGUGGAAGGACAGACCAAGCAGAAGGCUUGCCAGCUGUGGGCCAGAUGAAACCCAAAUGCACCCAGGGGAGUGGGAAGGUGCUUUUAUGUCCUACUUCUUUGUUCACCGACUGAUUCAUGCAGUUUGAGCACAGUUCAACAGUAACACAACUGCUGCUGGAUCUAACAGAAGGCAUUGAUGUUAUUUUCAGUGCUCUGAGAGCAACAUUUUCUGGUGAAGCUGGCUUCAAGGUUUCCCCCAUCCCACUGGAGGAGCGAGUGGUAUUAGUUGCUGCCUGGGUUUAAACCAUGAUAAUGGAUAAAAUCCUCAUCAUAUAAACAUUUGAUGGCUUGGUGUGUAAAUUCCCGAGACAGAGGAUUGUGAAAUAAGGAAAUGGCACUGCAAACCCUUGCAGCUGUUCAGAUGAUACAAGUUCUGACACACUAGAAAGCUUCAGGUGAAUUGAAGAGCUCUGAAGGAACAUUCUUUGAUUGGAAGAAGUAUUCAGGUUAGUUUUUAACUGAUGGCAAAUAAAAGAAUGGUAAAGUUCAUCAUUAAAAUUUAAUAUUUAUUUAAUAUUUUUAUGUGUAAAAUACUGGAAGCUAUGUUUCCUCCCUGGACACCCCCCCAGUUCCACUAACAAUGCUUUUAAAGAGUAGGAGAUGUGCAUCUGUAAGUGCAAAAUUAUUGACUAGUAAUGCAUUUUUGGGAAAGUGGCUUAUGCAACUGGUAUGAUUGUUUGGGCUGGAGCCUGAAAUAUUGGCAGGAAUCUGAAACAGUCUGUGCCAGGGAUUCUCUCUCAAAAC
This is a non-coding RNA of Lonchura striata (white-rumped munia), 919 nucleotides long. The record is from RefSeq and is a predicted model, not a curated record. NCBI's taxonomy places the organism in Eukaryota, Metazoa, Chordata, Aves, Passeriformes, Estrildidae.